UCGAGGGGCAGCAGGUUUGUAGCAAUACAGAUGCUGGCGACCGGCAAACGGGUGCGGAACACGUACGCAACCUUCCUCCAACUGGGAGAUAGCCCACCGAAAGGUGGAUUAAUACCCCAUAACAUAUUUGAGUGGCAUCACUUGGAUAUUAAAGUUCCGACGGUUGGAGAUGGGCGUGCGCCUGAUUAGGUAGUUGGCGGGGUAACGGCCCACCAAGCCUGCGAUCAGUAGCUGAUGUGAGAGCAUGAUCAGCCACACGGGCACUGAGACACGGGCCCGACUCCUACGGGAGGCAGCAGUAAGGAAUAUUGGUCAAUGGACGCAAGUCUGAACCAGCCAUGCCGCGUGGAGGAUGAAGGUCCUCUGGAUUGUAAACUUCUUUUCUCUGGGACGAAACCCCCGAUUUCUAUCGGGCCUGACGGUACCAGAGGAAUAAGCACCGGCUAACUCCGUGCCAGCAGCCGCGGUAAUACGGAGGGUGCAAGCGUUAUCCGGAUUUACUGGGUUUAAAGGGAGCGUAGGCGGGCAGUUAAGUCAGUGGUGAAAUCUCUGGGCUUAACCCGGAAACUGCCAUUGAUACUAUCUGUCUUGAAUAUUCUGGAGGUAAGCGGAAUAUGUCAUGUAGCGGUGAAAUGCUUAGAUAUGACAUAGAACACCCAUUGCGAAGGCAGCUUACUACGGGAUUAUUGACGCUGAGGCUCGAAAGCG
This 708-nucleotide ribosomal RNA is filed under the name uncultured Bacteroidota bacterium. RNAcentral describes it as "bacterial SSU rRNA". It matches the Rfam family "Bacterial small subunit ribosomal RNA", at positions 62 to 761 of the family's 1533-position model. Lineage: Bacteria; Pseudomonadati; Bacteroidota. The record is from RNAcentral.